GGGAAUUUUCCGCAAUGGGCGAAAGCCUGACGGAGCAAUACCGCGUGAGGGAUGACGGCCUAUGGGUUGUAAACCUCUUUUUUCAGGGAGGAAUAAAUGACGUGUACCUGAAGAAUAAGCAUCGGCUAACUCCGUGCCAGCAGCCGCGGUAAGACGGAGGAUGCAAGUGUUAUCCGGAAUCACUGGGCGUAAAGCGUCUGUAGGUGGUCUAGCAAGUCAACUGUUAAAUCUUGAAGCUCAACUUCAAAAUCGCAGUCGAAACUAUUAGACUAGAGUAUAGUAGGGGUAAAGGGAAUUUCCAGUGGAGCGGUGAAAUGCGUAGAGAUUGGAAAGAACACCGAUGGCGAAGGCACUUUACUGGGCUAUUACUGACACUCAGAGACGAAAGCUAGGGUAGCAAAUGGGAUUAGAUACCCCAGUAGUCA
RNAcentral lists this ribosomal RNA (425 nucleotides) under uncultured cyanobacterium. RNAcentral describes it as "bacterial SSU rRNA". It matches the Rfam family "Bacterial small subunit ribosomal RNA", at positions 357 to 796 of the family's 1533-position model. Lineage: Bacteria; Bacillati; Cyanobacteriota. The record is from RNAcentral.